RNAcentral lists this ribosomal RNA (465 nucleotides) under Vreelandella stevensii. RNAcentral's name for it is "partial 16S ribosomal RNA". It matches the Rfam family "Bacterial small subunit ribosomal RNA", at positions 338 to 795 of the family's 1533-position model. Lineage: Bacteria; Pseudomonadati; Pseudomonadota; Gammaproteobacteria; Oceanospirillales; Halomonadaceae. The record is from RNAcentral.
CCUACGGGCGGCAGCAGUGGGGAAUAUUGGACAAUGGGCGAAAGCCUGAUCCAGCCAUGCCGCGUGUGUGAAGAAGGCCUUCGGGUUGUAAAGCACUUUCAGUGGGGAAGAAAGCCUUGGGGCUAAUACCCUCGAGGAAGGACAUCACCCACAGAAGAAGCACCGGCUAACUCCGUGCCAGCAGCCGCGGUAAUACGGAGGGUGCGAGCGUUAAUCGGAAUUACUGGGCGUAAAGCGCGCGUAGGCGGUCUGAUAAGCCGGUUGUGAAAGCCCCGGGCUCAACCUGGGAACGGCAUCCGGAACUGUCAGGCUAGAGUGCAGGAGAGGAAGGUAGAAUUCCCGGUGUAGCGGUGAAAUGCGUAGAGAUCGGGAGGAAUACCAGUGGCAAAGGCGGCCUUCUGGACUGACACUGACGCUGAGGUGCGAAAGCGUGGGUAGCAAACAGGAUUAGAUACCCCGGUAGUC